CUGGCAGCUGAGAUGUGAACAACUCCUGAACAGCAGGGCUGCAGCCAGGCUCCUGGCAAACACCUAAGCCAGGUUGUGCACAUCUCUUUCAAACAAACUGGAUCUUCAUUUACAGCUGUGUAAACCCCAAGAGGAAUGUAAUGGAUGUCGGACAGAGGACUGACAGUCACCCAUCUUUUGACACCUAAAUAAAUGGCCGGAUCUUCAAAACCACUGAGCAGUCUCAUUCCCACUGAAAUCUUGGCCUCUGCACACGUCACACAGAUUACACUCUGAAUAUGAAGAAAUUGAUUCUGGAGAUCCAGCAUGCCACUCAGAGGAGAAAAUACAAAACACGGUAAAAAUGACUGUGGCAGAAUCAUAGCCUUGAUAAUAACCUAUGAUGAUGACGGUGAUAAAGGAAACCAAUAUGAUGUAUUUUCAGUCCCCCGUUUAAAGGAGAUCAUCUAGCUUUGCUGUUAUUAUAGCUCCUGAAGAAGGGCUAAAAUGUAAUCAGUAUGUAAUGUGCAAGGACAGAAAUGUCAUAGAAAA
This is a long non-coding RNA of Alligator sinensis (Chinese alligator), 531 nucleotides long. RefSeq lists it as uncharacterized. The transcript has 4 exons. The record is from RefSeq and is a predicted model, not a curated record. Lineage: Eukaryota; Metazoa; Chordata; Crocodylia; Alligatoridae.